GUUUUUCAAACCGCUGGGUGUUCAGUCCAUCUGUCAGCUGGAUAACCCUUUGCCCCCCGUCCGGCUGCGUGUUGUGAGAGAAUGGCUCGUAUACCACAAAUGUCAUGCCCUCUCCUGAAGGAAAAAACAAUGGAAGGUGGACUCGGUGAAGGGCAACAAGCGAGGGGAAAUACCACACCACAAAUACGUCAGAAGAGCUGCGCCUGAGUCCGCGAAAGGUCGCGGACGACCGACUGCGGCGGCUCUGGAUUCCAGGAGGGCUCAGGAUCUGCAUGGCUGCUGUGUUGCCCUGAUGAAUAAAUGAUCAGCCGCGUGGACGUGAAGGUCUGCCCCUGUUUCUUCUGACGUGAUCCCCUGGUUGAGCUGGUAAACGCCCAAAGCUGAGAGCCGGAGCCAUCACAGCAAGACGAGAACACCGGCCAACACCAACAGAGCAACGCAGCCGGCCCUCGCCUUCCC
Gasterosteus aculeatus aculeatus (three-spined stickleback) is the source of this 459-nucleotide long non-coding RNA. The record is from Ensembl. Lineage: Eukaryota; Metazoa; Chordata; Actinopteri; Perciformes; Gasterosteidae.